AUUGAACGCUGGCGGCAGGCCUAACACAUGCAAGUCGAGCGGCUGCAGGGUGCUUGCUCCUGGAUUCAGCGGCGGACGGGUGAGUAAGGCCUAGGAAUCUGCCUGUCAGUGGGUGAUAACGUCCGGAAACGGGCGCUAAUACCCCAUACGUCCCGAGGGAGAACGGGUGGGAGCUUCGGACCUCCGGCUAUUAGAUGAGCCUAGGUCGGAUUAGCUAGUUGGUGGGGUAAAGGCCUACCAAGGCGACGAUCCGUAGCUGGUCUGAGAGGAUGAUCAGUCACACUGGAACUGAGACACGGUCCAGACUCCUACGGGAGGCAGCAGUGGGGAAUAUUGGACAAUGGGCGAAAGCCUGAUCCAGCCAUGCCGCGUGUGUGAAGAAGGUCUUCGGAUUGUAAAGCACUUUUAGUUGGGAGGAAAGGCAGUAAGUUAAUACCUUGCUGUUUUGACGUUACCAACAGAAUAAGCACCGGCUAACUUCGUG
This 484-nucleotide ribosomal RNA is filed under the name uncultured bacterium. Its description in RNAcentral is "partial 16S ribosomal RNA". It matches the Rfam family "Bacterial small subunit ribosomal RNA", at positions 30 to 507 of the family's 1533-position model. The record is from RNAcentral.